This 484-nucleotide ribosomal RNA is filed under the name uncultured bacterium. RNAcentral's name for it is "partial 16S ribosomal RNA". It matches the Rfam family "Bacterial small subunit ribosomal RNA", at positions 30 to 507 of the family's 1533-position model. The record is from RNAcentral.
AUUGAACGCUGGCGGCAGGCCUAACACAUGCAAGUCGAGCGGAUGAAGGGAGCUUGCUCCUGGAUUCAGCGGCGGACGGGUGAGUAAUGCCUAGGAAUCUGCCUGGUAGUGGGGGAUAACGUCCGGAAACGGGCGCUAAUACCGCAUACGUCCUGAGGGAGAAAGUGGGGGAUCUUCGGACCUCACGCUAUCAGAUGAGCCUAGGUCGGAUUAGCUAGUUGGUGGGGUAAAGGCCUACCAAGGCGACGAUCCGUAACUGGUCUGAGAGGAUGAUCAGCCACACUGGAACUGAGACACGGUCCAGACUCCUACGGGGGGCAGCAGUGGGGAAUAUUGGACAAUGGGCGAAAGCCUGAUCCAGCCAUGCCGCGUGUGUGAAGAAGGUCUUCGGAUUGUAAAGCACUUUAAGUUGGGAGGAAGGGCAGUAAGUUAAUACCUUGCUGUUUUGACGUUACCAACAGAAUAAGCACCGGCUAACUUCGUG